Molecule: ribosomal RNA, 1977 nt
Filed under: Triticum aestivum (bread wheat)
Lineage: Eukaryota; Viridiplantae; Streptophyta; Magnoliopsida; Poales; Poaceae
Description: partial small subunit ribosomal RNA
Source: RNAcentral
AUGCCACCCCCUGAGCAAAAUAUUGAGGCAUCUGUAGAAGUAGAAGUUCUAGAACAACAAAGAAUCAGAAGCACACCAUUCGAGCGAGACCCUGGAAAGCGCAAACAGAUUUGGGAACUCCCUUUUGAUAAGCAAAAUGAAACACGCCACUUCUAUAUUUCUGAAGGCCGAUACAUGCCAUACAUGAGAGAGUAUCCAUAUAAUGAACAUGGUCGGCAUUUCCAGUACAGUUGGUUAAAGGAUUUUAAAUGGCUCGAGUUUUCACCUUACACAAAGCGUGCAUAUUGCUUCCAUUGUUUCCUCUUCUCAAGAAAGCCGAUUGGGAAGUGCGGCUCAGAAACAUUUACUGUUUUGGGCUUUGAUAGGUGGAAGAAGGUGAAUAAUGGGAAAGAGUGUGCUUUUUAAACUCAUAUGGGUAAAGAUGCUGGUUCAGCCCAUAACUUCUCAGUUCGUUGUUAUGAUAAUUUUAAAAACGGCAUGACUCAUAUUGAUAGGCUAAGGCUCAAAGUUACAAUUGAUUCCAUCCGCAAUAUUUUUCUUCCAUCUUCUGUUACAAUAAUUAAAAUAUUGUGGUUAACAUUCCAGGCUUGUGCUUUUAGAGGGCAUGAUGAAUCUCCGAGAUCCAUUAACCGGGGUAAUUUUCUAGAACUGGUAAAACUUUUGGCUUAUUAUAACAAGGAGGUGAAAGAUGUUGUCUUGGAAAAUGCUCCUGGAAACGCAAAGUACACAUCUCAUCAGGUUCAAGAGGAAAUUCUUGCUAUACUUUCUCGAAAGGUGCAAAGAACAAUUAGAGAAGAAAUCGGUGAUAGCAAAUUUUGUAUAAUGGUUGACGAAGCUCGCGAUGAAUCCAAGAAAGAACAAAUGGCGUUGGUCCUUCGGUUUCCUGACACUGAAGGGUUCAUACAGGAGCGUUUUGUUGAUGUCAUUCAUGUGAAUGACACUCUUGCAUUGACUCUCAAGGAGACAAUUUGCACUAUUCUAGCAAACAACUAUUUAAAUGUGGAAGAUAUCAGAGGUCAAGUCUAUGACGGGGCCAGUAAUAUGCGAGGGGAGUGGGACGGAUUGAAGGCUUUAAUUCUGAAGGCAUGCCCUUAUGCAUAUUACAUUCAUUGUAUGGCGCAUCAGCUUUAGUUAGCCCUUGUUGCAGCAUCACAAGAGGUACAUGAAGUGCAUAAUUUUUUUCAACAUGCCAAUUUUGUCAUAAAUGUUGUUAGUGCUUCACCUAAACGCAAUGAUGAGUUACUAGCAAAUCAAGCCGCCGAAAUUGCCCUCCUACGAAGUAUAGCGAAUGAUCGUUCGGUGACACAAUAUUCCCGUGGAGAUGCUGGAGGCACCCUAAGGAUAAUUGUUUCUUUUGAUUUUGUGUUCAUUUUGCAUCUCAUGGAGAGGAUUAUGAAAAUCACAGAUGUCUUGUGCCAAACACUCCAUAAGAAAUCUAUGGACAUUUUGAAUGCAUUAGAUACACUCUCUAACACUAAGGUACUCCUCGCUGAACUAAGAGAGGAAGGAUAGGAACCUCUCAUAGAGGAGGUUAAGACCUUUUGUGUGAAGCAUGAAGUUGAGAUCCCCGAUAUGAGUCGCAAUAACAUCACAGUGCUUCACCACUACAAAGCAGAUGUGUUCAAUGUGGCGAUAGAUCAACAACUGCUUGAGCUAAAUGACCAUUUUAGUGUUCAGACUAUAGAGCUAAUGACACUCUGUGCAUGUAAAGCAUCUGUGUAUCCAAUGGCUGAUAGAUUAUUGCGCUUGGUCAUCACUCUCCCGGUGUCAACUUCAACUGCGGAGAGAGCUUUUUCAGCAAUGAAGAUUAUCAAGACGCGUCUCCGAAGUAAAAUGGGUGACGAUUUUCUUCGACCUUACAUGGCUGUAUACAUCGGGAAGGAAAUAGCUGCAAAGUUCAAUGUUAAUGAGAUUAUUGAUUUGUUUGAUCGACCGGAUGGGGGGCAUAGAUCUGCAUUCAAACUAGUAGAAAUGUAG